RNAcentral lists this long non-coding RNA (435 nucleotides) under Ananas comosus (pineapple). Its description in RNAcentral is "long non-coding RNA (ACOM_LNC024956)". Lineage: Eukaryota; Viridiplantae; Streptophyta; Magnoliopsida; Poales; Bromeliaceae. The record is from RNAcentral.
CUCUCGACUAAACAGCAUUAUUGUAAAUUAUAAACUGUAAACUUUUUUAUUUUAUUUUAUUUUAUAUUCGAAGUUUAAUACUAUCUCAUCCAUAUAGCCUAGUUAGUUUUUUUCAUGAAUGAACCGGAUAGCAUAUUAUUUUUCUAAAAAUAUAUAUAUAUAUAUACAUAUAUUAAUAUUGGAUAUAACCCACGUGAUUUAUUGAAGGCGAUUUAUAAGAAUACAGUCGGUCCAUUCAAAUCGAUCUAUAAAUAUACAACAGAUCUAACGGUUAGCAUAUAUUUAGAUACAUCCUUAAUAGACGGACGUGAUUUAAUAUCUUUCCGUCAAGUUAUAUAUAAAAAUAUAAUAUAUCGGCGUUCCGAUCUAACUCUAAUUUGUAACGAUUCUGUCCCCAAGAUAAAAAAAUUAGACUCAAAAAUAUUUUGAUCCUUU